GAUAUUAACAUAAUAACAAUAAAAAUCAAAAUAAGUGGCAGCCAGUCUUCGUCCAUGAUUAAAUCAACCUCUCCCUUUUCCUCUCGGCAAUUCUAGGAUAUUGUUUUCUCUACCUGAUCAGUUCUGAGCUACUAGAGGCAUUAUACGAGAAAUUUCAGUCUGAAUGUGCAAAGUUCUCGCAAUAUCAGUUUGAUUUGCAAGGAAUGAUUGAUUUAGUAAAGUCUGUAGCUGAAGAUACCGUGAAAGAGUAAUAGGAAGCUCCCCAGCCAAAUCCAAACAACGGGUAAAAAUAGAGAAAGAAAUAAAAUUAUUGAUCAAGUGACACAGAUUUAUGGUGAGUAUAAUUGUUUUCUCAUUUUUAUUUCGGCUAUGAUGCCGGUCGCUGUUAUAAUCUGAAUCGUUUAUGAGACGAAUAUGAGUGUUAUGGGCAUUAGUAAAUAAGAUUAAUGCUAAAAAUGUAUG
Molecule: long non-coding RNA, 462 nt
Organism: Papaver somniferum (opium poppy)
Lineage: Eukaryota; Viridiplantae; Streptophyta; Magnoliopsida; Ranunculales; Papaveraceae
Exons: 3
Source: RefSeq, a predicted model, not a curated record